Molecule: microRNA, 21 nt
Filed under: Ananas comosus (pineapple)
Lineage: Eukaryota; Viridiplantae; Streptophyta; Magnoliopsida; Poales; Bromeliaceae
Description: microRNA s0399_c45a
Source: RNAcentral
CCAGAGAUUGCAAGAACCCGA